GUCUUCGUAGUAUAUGUCAAUACACUGGCCUUGUAAACCAGCAAAGGAGCUAACCCUCCCCAAGACU
RNAcentral lists this transfer RNA (67 nucleotides) under Manis javanica (Malayan pangolin). Its description in RNAcentral is "tRNA-Thr". Lineage: Eukaryota; Metazoa; Chordata; Mammalia; Pholidota; Manidae. The record is from RNAcentral.